RNAcentral lists this ribosomal RNA (153 nucleotides) under Pseudomonas putida. Its description in RNAcentral is "partial 16S ribosomal RNA". It matches the Rfam family "Bacterial small subunit ribosomal RNA", at positions 330 to 475 of the family's 1533-position model. The record is from RNAcentral. Lineage: Bacteria; Pseudomonadati; Pseudomonadota; Gammaproteobacteria; Pseudomonadales; Pseudomonadaceae.
UCCAGACUCCUACGGGAGGCAGCAGUGGGGAAUAUUGGACAAUGGGCGAAAGCCUGAUCCAGCCAUGCCGCGUGUGUGAAGAAGGUCUUCGGAUUGUAAAGCACUUUAAGUUGGGAGGAAGGGCAGUAAGAUAAUACCUUGCUGUUUUGACGU